CCCAGGGGAACCCUGAUAACAAGUUCUGAAUAUUUUAGGAAAAUGACAGGGCACAUUAGAAGGUGGCCAGCGAUGUGUGAAAAAGACAACCCCGAGCCAAGAACACAGAUGGGGGAGAAGCCGAUGAGUUUUAGCAGAUGUGCUGCUGAAGUGAGCACCUGAGGCUGGCUUGCGUGGGGACCCUCUCGCUGCUGCGGAAGGAGCCAGGCUCUGGAGCAGGGGAGCUGGCGGGUGCGCGUGGGAAUCCAGUGACAGAGGACGGUGUUUCCAGCUGCAAUGGUGAGUAGCUGGGAAAUGGUAACAAUCCAUGAGGUUCUGGAUCUUCCAAAGGCAGAGACAACGGGAUUUCCUGAUGGGUUGGGUGUUGCAAGUGCUGUUUGUUCUGUUCAAAAUUAGGACGUCCUAGACGGGAAACGGGAACUGAAAGGGCAGCCAGUUACCGCCCACGGACGCAGAAAAAGGAAGAGCUGUUUUCUGCUUUUAGUGGCAGGAGAAACCUGAUGUGGUGCAGAUUUUGUGAAACGAAGGAAGGUCUCCAACUUCCAGGCCCGAAGUCCCUAGACUCACGUAGAGCCGAGGGGUGGAGCCACUGUUUCCCUGAGAGAGAGUACCACUAGCCCAAGAACCAGAUAGAGACUAUGUCCACAGCAAGCCACUCAGGACAAAGGGAAUAAAGAGACAGACGUCCAAAAACCAGUACAUAGUGAUGACCAAAUAAAUGUGUGGCUACACACUGUUUUAGGAAUUUAUACUGUGUUACUGCACUGCUGUUCUAUUUUGCUUUUCUCUCCCUAUCUGUUGCUCUCUAUUUUUCUGUCUCUCUAUUCCUCUCUCUCCAUUUCUCCCUUUCUAUUCCCUCUUGCUAUCUCUCUCUGUAUGUAUCUGUCUCUCUCCAUUUCUCUGUCUCUUUAUAUAUCUCUCUAUAUUUCUUCCUAUCUAUUCUCUCCCCUCCAGCUUUCUCUCUUUCCCUCUGUGUGUGUGUGUAUCUGCUUGUCUGUCUCUGUUUCUUUCUCUUUCUAUACAUAUAUUUCUUUCGCUCUCUUAAUUGUUAAAGCACUUCUUUGAAGGCUGUCUAACAUUAUCUUGGCUCAGUAAAAGAGACAGGAGAGUUUCCACACCACAGUAGGUAUUGGUGGGAGGAUCAGAGCUCCUGGAUUCUCUGUCCGGCCAUGGCAGCGCCAGGUUUGCGGGGUGCCAUAUACCCCCAGGAGUUACUGAAAUGGCAAUGAAGUUGGAAAGUGAAAAACCAACAAGGAAAAUUUGAAGACAACCAAAGUGGACAACCCCCACAACCAAGGUGGACAACCCCCCCACAACCAAGGUGGACAACCCCCUCCAACCAAGGUGGACAACCCUCCCCAACCAAGGUGGACAACCCCCCCCCAACAUUUUUUUUAGGGCUUUUGAUUACCAGAGGCCUUAUUUUAUAUGGCAAUUAAGAAGACUUGAAAAGUACCUCAUCAAGGUCAGGCGCGGUGGCUCACGCCUGUAAUCCCAGCACUUUGGGAGGCCGAGGCGGGUGGAUCACGAGGUCAAGAGACCGAGACCAUCCUGGCUAACACGGUGAAACUCCGUCUCUAUUAAAAAAUACAAAAAAUUAGCCAGGCGUGGUGGCGGGUGCCUG
RNAcentral lists this long non-coding RNA (1624 nucleotides) under Homo sapiens (human). RNAcentral's name for it is "HSALNT0158009". The record is from RNAcentral. Lineage: Eukaryota; Metazoa; Chordata; Mammalia; Primates; Hominidae.